GCCGCCAGCUCGUACGCGACCCCAGGUCAGGCGGGGCUACCCGCUGAGUUUAAGCAUAUCAAUCUAUAGCGGAGGAAAAGAAACUAACGAGGAUUCCCC
Molecule: ribosomal RNA, 99 nt
Filed under: Acacia spirorbis subsp. solandri
Lineage: Eukaryota; Viridiplantae; Streptophyta; Magnoliopsida; Fabales; Fabaceae
Description: partial 26S ribosomal RNA
Rfam family: Eukaryotic large subunit ribosomal RNA (bases 17-99)
Source: RNAcentral